CAUAAUCAUAGUCUUGUAAUUUAAGACUGGGAUGAAAGGAUAAACUGGAAAGAUUCUUUCUUAUUGUUAAUUUUAAAUUUUACUUUUUAGUAAGAAGGCCUAAAAUGUCUCUUUUAGACAAGAAGACCCUAUAAAACUUUACAUAAAAUAAUUUAGUAAAUUAAUAAUAUGUUUUACUGGGGCGGUGAAAAGAAAAACACUUUUAAGACUAUUGAUAAUAUUAUUAUUUUGAUACCCAAAAGUUUUGAAGUUUAAAUAAGUUACUUUAGGGAUAACAGCGUUAUAUGUUUUGAAAGCUCUAAAUUGACAAACAUGUUUGCGACCUCGAUGUUGGAUUAAAUUUCCUUUAUUGCGCAAGAGGAUAGGAGGGGGCUGUCGACCCAAAAUAUCCA
Molecule: ribosomal RNA, 392 nt
Filed under: Centruroides nigrescens
Lineage: Eukaryota; Metazoa; Arthropoda; Arachnida; Scorpiones; Buthidae
Description: partial 16S ribosomal RNA
Rfam family: Archaeal large subunit ribosomal RNA
Source: RNAcentral